CAGUAGCCGCGGUAAUACAGAGGUCUCAAGCGUUGUUCGGAUUCAUUGGGCGUAAAGGGUGCGUAGGUGGCGGUGUAAGUCUAACGUGAAAUCUCGGGGCUCAACCUCGAAAUUGCGUCGGAUACUGCAUUGCUAGAGGAUCGUAGAGGAGAGUGGAAUUCAUGGUGUAGCAGUGAAAUGCGUAGAUAUCAUGAGGAAGACCAGUUGCGAAGGCGACUCUCUGGGCAAUUCCUGACACUGAGGCACGAAGGCUAGGGGAGCAAACGGGAUUAGAUACCCCCGUAGUCCCUGUCUCUUAUAC
RNAcentral lists this ribosomal RNA (301 nucleotides) under uncultured bacterium. Its description in RNAcentral is "partial 16S ribosomal RNA". It matches the Rfam family "Bacterial small subunit ribosomal RNA", at positions 509 to 807 of the family's 1533-position model. The record is from RNAcentral.